This 460-nucleotide ribosomal RNA is filed under the name uncultured bacterium. RNAcentral's name for it is "partial 16S ribosomal RNA". It matches the Rfam family "Bacterial small subunit ribosomal RNA", at positions 338 to 795 of the family's 1533-position model. The record is from RNAcentral.
CCUACGGGAGGCUGCAGUGAGGAAUAUUGGUCAAUGGCCGUAAGGCUGAACCAGCCAAGUAGCGUGAGGGAAGACUGCCCUAUGGGUUGUAAACCUCUUUUAUGCGGGGAUAAAGGUUUCCACGUGUGGAUGUUUGCAGGUACCGCAUGAAUAAGGACGGGCGAAUUCCGUGCCAGCAGCCGCGGUAAUACGGAAGGUCCGGGCGUUAUCCGGAUUGAUUGGGUUUAAAGGGAGCGUAGGCCGGUCUUUAAGCGUGCCGUGAAAUUUGGUGGCUCAACCAUGAGAGUCCGGGGCGAACUGGAGAACUUGAGUGCGCGGAAGGCAGGCGGAAUUCGUGGUGUAGCGGUGAAAUGCUUAGAUAUCACGAAGAACCCCGAUUGCGAAGGCAGCCUGCCGCAGCGUUACUGACGCUGAAGCUCGAAAGCGCGGGUAUCGAACAGGAUUAGAUACCCGAGUAGUC